This 230-nucleotide long non-coding RNA is filed under the name Elaeis guineensis (African oil palm). RNAcentral's name for it is "long non-coding RNA (EGUI_LNC079426)". Lineage: Eukaryota; Viridiplantae; Streptophyta; Magnoliopsida; Arecales; Arecaceae. The record is from RNAcentral.
GAUGUCAGGUAUCAUUGCUAGAUGGUCACUUUGAUUGGUAUAGAAAGAUUAUUCUUAUACUACCGACUUAGAUUCAAACUUAUAGGGUCACACUCAAAAAAAGUUUCUGACUGAUCGUAUGGCUGAUCAACGAUUAAGAAUCGUUCUGGGAUAAAACAGUCUAUUCAAUUGAUGAUUAACCCUAUACAAAAGUUAUAAUAAAUUAAUUUAUUAAUUAUUGAUGAAUUAUA